UCGGGAAUAUUGCGCAAUGGAGGAAACUCUGACGCAGUGACGCCGCGUAUAGGAAGAAGGUCUUCGGAUUGUAAACUAUUGUCGUUAGGGAAGAAAAAGGACAGUACCUAAGGAGGAAGCUCCGGCUAACUACGUGCCAGCAGCCGCGGUAAUACGUAGGGAGCGAGCGUUAUCCGGAUUUAUUGGGUGUAAAGGGUGCGUAGACGGGAAAACAAGUUAGUUGUGAAAUCCCUCGGCUCAACUGAGGAACUGCAACUAAAACUAUUUUUCUUGAGUGCAGGAGAGGAAAGCGGAAUUCCUAGUGUAGCGGUGAAAUGCGUAGAUAUUAGGAGGAACACCAGUGGCGAAGGCGGCUUUCUGGACUGUAACUGACGUUGAGGCACGAAAGUGUGGGGAGCAAACAGG
This 405-nucleotide ribosomal RNA is filed under the name uncultured bacterium. RNAcentral's name for it is "bacterial SSU rRNA". It matches the Rfam family "Bacterial small subunit ribosomal RNA", at positions 355 to 776 of the family's 1533-position model. The record is from RNAcentral.